This is a long non-coding RNA of Populus euphratica (Euphrates poplar), 103 nucleotides long. RefSeq lists it as uncharacterized. The transcript has 3 exons. Lineage: Eukaryota; Viridiplantae; Streptophyta; Magnoliopsida; Malpighiales; Salicaceae. The record is from RefSeq and is a predicted model, not a curated record.
ACUUCGUCAUUUAUGAACAGUCUAUACCAAUUUGUCCCUAGCUCAUUGCACCACACCAUGCUAUAUUUAUGGCUAAGUUACAGAUAUCCAUGAACCCAAUUAA